GACGAACGCUGGCGGCGUGCUUAACACAUGCAAGUCGAACGGAAAGGCCCUGCUUUUGUGGGGUGCUCGAGUGGCGAACGGGUGAGUAACACGUGAGUAACCUGCCCUUGACUUUGGUAUAACUUCAGGAAACUGGGGCUAAUACCGGAUAGGAGCUCCUGCUGCAUGGUGGGGGUUGGAACGUUUCGGCGGUUGGGGAUGGACUCGCGGCUUAUCAGCUUGUUGGUGGGGUAGUGGCUUACCAAGGCUUUGACGGGUAGCCGGCCUGAGAGGGUGACCGGCCACAUUGGGACUGAGAUACGGCCCAGACUCCUACGGGAGGCAGCAGUGGGGAAUAUUGCACAAUGGGCGGAAGCCUGAUGCAGCAACGCCGCGUGCGGGAUGACGGCCUGCGGGUUGUAAACCGCUUUCGCCUGUGACGAAGCGUGAGUGACGGUAAUGGGUAAAGAAGCACCGGCUAACUACGUG
This 468-nucleotide ribosomal RNA is filed under the name uncultured bacterium. Its description in RNAcentral is "partial 16S ribosomal RNA". It matches the Rfam family "Bacterial small subunit ribosomal RNA", at positions 28 to 507 of the family's 1533-position model. The record is from RNAcentral.